AGAUUGAACGCUGGCGGCAUGCCUUACACAUGCAAGUCGAACGGCAGCGCGGGAGCAAUCCUGGCGGCGAGUGGCGAACGGGUGAGUAAUAUAUCGGAACGUGCCCUGUAGCGGGGGAUAACCUAUCGAAAGAUGGACUAAUACCGCAUACGCUCUACGGAGGAAAGCGGGGGUUCUUGGGCAACUGAGGACCUCGCACUAUAGGAGCGGCCGAUAUCGGAUUAGCUAGUUGGCGGGGUAAAAGCCCACCAAGGCGACGAUCCGUAGCUGGUCUGAGAGGAUGAUCAGCCACACUGGAACUGAGACACGGUCCAGACUCCUACGGGAGGCAGCAGUGGGAAUUUUGGACAAUGGCGCAAGCCUGAUCCAGCCAUGCCGCGUGAGUGAAGAAGGCCUUCGGGUUGUAAAGCUCUUCGGCAGGACGAAAUGGUUCGUGCUAAUACCACGGACUGAUGACGGUACCUAGAAGAAGAAGCGACCGGCUAA
This 486-nucleotide ribosomal RNA is filed under the name uncultured bacterium. RNAcentral describes it as "SSU rRNA". It matches the Rfam family "Bacterial small subunit ribosomal RNA", at positions 26 to 500 of the family's 1533-position model. The record is from RNAcentral.